This 496-nucleotide ribosomal RNA is filed under the name uncultured bacterium. RNAcentral describes it as "partial 16S ribosomal RNA". It matches the Rfam family "Bacterial small subunit ribosomal RNA", at positions 28 to 507 of the family's 1533-position model. The record is from RNAcentral.
GAUGAACGCUGGCGGCGUGCCUAUACCUGCAAGUUGAGCGGACGGACCGGAAGCUUUGUUCUCCGAUUUUAACGGCGGACGGGGGGGGUACCAGGUGGAAACCUACCUAUAAGACCGGGAUAACCUUGGGAAACCGGAGCUAAAUCCGGAUUAUAUUUUGAACCCCCAGGUUCCAAAGUGAAAGACGGUCUUUCCUUCACUUUUUGGUUGAUCCGCGCUGCAUUAGCUAGUUGGUAAGGUAACGGCUUACCAAGGCAACGAUGCAUAGCCGACCUGAGAGGGUGAUCGGCCACACUGGAACUGAGACACGGUCCAGACUCCUACGGGAGGCAGCAGUAGGGAAUCUUCCGCAAUGGGCGAAAGCCUGACGGAGCAACGCCGCGUGAGUGAUGAAGGUCUUCGGAUCGUAAAACUCUGUUAUUAGGGAAGAACAUAUGCGUAAGUAACUGUGCACAUCUUGACGGUACCUAAUCAGAAAGCCACGGCUAACUACGUG